RNAcentral lists this ribosomal RNA (484 nucleotides) under uncultured bacterium. RNAcentral describes it as "partial 16S ribosomal RNA". It matches the Rfam family "Bacterial small subunit ribosomal RNA", at positions 28 to 507 of the family's 1533-position model. The record is from RNAcentral.
AUUGAACGCUGGCGGCAUGCUUUACACAUGCAAGUCGAACGGCAGCACGGGGGCAGCCCUGGUGGCGAGUGGCGAACGGGUGAGUAAUACAUCGGAACGUGCCCGGUCGUGGGGGAUAACGUAGCGAAAGUUACGCUAAUACCGCAUACGAUCUGUGGAUGAAAGCGGGGGUUGUUGGGCCCCGGCGGGUUGGGACGGCCCGGGGUCGGAUUGGCUAGUUGGUGGGGUAAGGGCCUCCCAAGCCGACGACCGGUAGCUGUUCUGAGAGGACGACAGGCCACACUGGGACUGAGACACGGCCCAGACUCCUACGGGAGGCAGCAGUGGGGAAUUUUGGACAAUGGGCGCAAGCCUGAUCCAGCCAUUCCGCGUGCAGGACGAAGGCCUUCGGGUUGUAAACUGCUUUUGUACGGAACGAAAAGGCUCUGGCUAAUACCUGGGGCUCAUGACGGUACCGUAAGAAUAAGCACCGGCUAACUACGUG